AGCAGCCGCGGUAAUUCCAGCUCCAAUAGCGUAUAUUAAAGUUGUUGCAGUUAAAAAGCUCGUAGUUGAAUUUCGGGAUCAAUUUGCUGGUCGUGCCUUCGGUACGCACUGGUAUUAUUGGUUUCUCCUUUCUGAUGAAUCGCGAUGUCAUUAAUUUGGUGUCGUGGGGAAUCAGGACCGUUACUUUGAAAAAAUUAGAGUGUUUAAAGCAGGCUCACGCUUGAAUACAUUAGCAUGGAAUAAUGAAAUAGGACGUUUGAUUCUAUUUUGUUGGUUUCUAGGAUCGACGUAAUGAUUAAUAGGGAUAGUUGGGGGCAUUAGUAUUCAAUUGUCAGAGGUGAAAUUCUUGGAUUUAUUGAAGACUAACUACUGCGAAAGCAUUUGCCAAGGAUGUUUUCAUUAAUCAAGAACGAAAGUUAGGGGAUCGAAGACGAUCAGAUACCGUCGUAGUCUUAACCAUAAACUAUGCC
Molecule: ribosomal RNA, 470 nt
Filed under: uncultured Glomus
Lineage: Eukaryota; Fungi; Glomeromycota; Glomeromycetes; Glomerales; Glomeraceae
Description: SSU rRNA
Rfam family: Eukaryotic small subunit ribosomal RNA
Source: RNAcentral